CCUCCUCAACAGAAUCCGCCAUACCAAGUUCAACUUCAGAACCAGUUUCCUCAGAAUCCAAUUCCCUCCCAUCCUCAGUCAGAAGCUUAUUAUCUCCCAGCUGGUCAAGCACCGGAAAACUUAAGUCAGCAGUACCAACUGCCUGCACCACAGCAGCAUCAGACUCCUCCACCACCUCCACAUCAACAAUAUCAGUCUGCCCCUCCGCCAAUAUACUCUCAGCCACCUCCACCUGCUCAACCACAACCCCCUCAUUCCUCUGUCAAUCCCUCGCAACCUCAACCUCUAGUAGGCCAUCAUCGUGAAGAGACACCUUUUGUACCAUCCCAGAAUUAUCCACCACCAAGCAUCCGCCAACCUCCUCAUCCAUCAAGU
RNAcentral lists this long non-coding RNA (375 nucleotides) under Nicotiana tabacum (common tobacco). RNAcentral describes it as "long non-coding RNA (NTAB_LNC007428)". Lineage: Eukaryota; Viridiplantae; Streptophyta; Magnoliopsida; Solanales; Solanaceae. The record is from RNAcentral.